UACACUAGCUGGGCUAGGGCAGAAGUUUGGAUAUGGCAGCUCGAUUAGCCAUCCAUUUUCCACACCUAUUGCUCCACUAGAUCCAACCUAUGCGUGCCGUGCCGACUGCCGCCUAGCUCACAUGACCCGAGCCAGACAGGAGUUUGGAACUUCUAGAUGGAUGCUAGCUAGGCCACAUCGACCGGCCAGGCAAAGAAACUGAACCCACGUACCGGUGUUUGGAGCAUUAGAUAAGGCAGGCUAAGCUUGUUUCGUGCGAAUAAUUGGCCAGCCAAGGAAAGAAUAUCCAUCGGCCAUUAUUAAGAUCACAUGCAUGCAUGCAUGCGUUUGGACAAAUUAGUGGAUAGGACAUGGAAGGCUAAGGCUUGAUCUUGUUUAGCAUGACAUUGACCAAGAAACCCUUAUUUCAGACGGCCGACGGCCAUACAUAUAUAUGGGUGGUCCAUCCCAAGAACACGACAGCCGAUCAGAUAGAUGCUUCCGGUAAGAUGGCAUGGACAAAUACGAUUGAUCUUUUCCUUUGAUGAUGGAUCGGCAUAUACGGCAUAAUCUUCGAUCGAUCUAUCUCGAUCAUACUUCCAGUGGAGUAAAAUAGUCGAUCGGCCAGCGUCGUCCAGAGCAAGCAAACAACAGCAUAGUAAUCCGUUGAGCAUGUGUGUGUGUGUGAGACCUAGGCGACGAGGGAGUUGGUGUUGUACAAGCAUGUGCUAAGCAUAUUACGCACCUCGCAGGCUAUCAUCUUGGACGGCCGACCGAACGAGGAGAUGGCAUAUGCUCCACGUUAAUUCCACCGUAUUCGUUUGGUGCUUUGUACUGGAAGUGUGUGUGGUGCUUGUUGUAUAUAUACGUGUAUAUACUUGGCGUUUGGUGUGGCUAUAUUAUUCGUUGG
This 889-nucleotide long non-coding RNA is filed under the name Hordeum vulgare. Its description in RNAcentral is "long non-coding RNA (HVUL_LNC016948)". The record is from RNAcentral. Lineage: Eukaryota; Viridiplantae; Streptophyta; Magnoliopsida; Poales; Poaceae.